CAGCCGCCACGGGAAUACGAAGGGGGCUAGCGUUGUUCGGAUUAACUGGGCGUAAAGGGCGCGUAGGCGGGUUUUUAAGUCAGAGGUGAAAUCCCAAGGCUCAACCUUGGAACUGCCUUUGAUACUGGAAGUCUUGAGUCCGGGAGAGGUGAGUGGAACUGCGAGUGUAGAGGUGAAAUUCGUAGAUAUUCGCAAGAACACCAGUGGCGAAGGCGGCUCACUGGCCCGGUACUGACGCUGAGGCGCGAAAGCGUGGGGAGCAAACAGGAUUAGAUACCCCGGUAGUCCCUGUCUCUUAUAC
This 301-nucleotide ribosomal RNA is filed under the name uncultured bacterium. RNAcentral's name for it is "partial 16S ribosomal RNA". It matches the Rfam family "Bacterial small subunit ribosomal RNA", at positions 509 to 807 of the family's 1533-position model. The record is from RNAcentral.